Molecule: ribosomal RNA, 254 nt
Filed under: uncultured bacterium
Lineage: Bacteria
Description: partial 16S ribosomal RNA
Rfam family: Bacterial small subunit ribosomal RNA
Source: RNAcentral
GACGUAGGGUCCAAGCGUUAUCCGGAUUUACUGGGCGUAAAGCGCGCGUAGGCGGUCUGUUAAGUGCACAGGUGAAAGCUCCGGGCUCAACUCGGAAAUUGCUUUGCAUACUGGCAGGCUGGAGGGACGCAGAGGUCUGUGGAAUUCCUGGUGUAACGGUGAAAUGUGUUGAUAUCAGGAGGAACACCCAUGGCGAAGGCAGGUCUCUGGGCAUUAACUGACGCUGAGGAGCGAAAGCAUGGGGAGCGAACAGG